Molecule: long non-coding RNA, 694 nt
Organism: Monodelphis domestica (gray short-tailed opossum)
Lineage: Eukaryota; Metazoa; Chordata; Mammalia; Didelphimorphia; Didelphidae
Source: RefSeq, a predicted model, not a curated record
UGACUGCCAUAACUAUUGUGCAUUCUAGAAGCAGUUUGGGGAUCUGCUGGGAAACUUCAUUGUACCCUCUUCUCCAAGAUGCACAACAGUGAAGAGAGAGUCCAUCUUAUCGUCUUGCCUCCUGAAGAGAAACUCGGAUAACAGGGGUAAUGCCUCCUCUCUUCCCAGGGAUGUGCUAAAGCCAGCUCAUACAGAUUCUACUGGAAAAGACUAGACACUACAAAAGGCAACAUUUGAAGACUCAUUGGUCUUGAUCUCUUCAGUCAAACAGCCCCACCAAGAGACAAGCUGACAGCUGCUGCCACCUGGAACAGAGUCCAACUCCUAGAAAAAGGGCCCCGAGUAAAUUGUCACAGUGGUCACCUGGAGAGUGAAGCCAAGGAGUGUGACUACAGCUCAAGAUCCAUCUCCUACUGGGACAUCACCCUCCUCUGCAAACAAAUAGGUACAAAAAGGCUUUCUAAGACUCCACAAGAACAUCUGCCUCUACCCCACCCCAAACAGAGUGUCCAGAACCAAUCAACUUUAAGAAGAUAGGAGAGGAGAAUCUAGAAAGAAGCUAUCAACAGAGGAGCCCCAGGGACAUGAGCUUCUUGAGAGUGAGGACUGUUUUUUUGUCUUUCUUUGUACUCCAAAUCCUUAGCACAGAGCUAGCACAUAAUAGGAAUCUAAUAAAUAUUUGUUCACUGACUGA